CAAGAUCGCGCCAGUGCACUUCAGCCUGGGUGACAGAGCGAGACUGUCAAAAAACCAAACAGAAAAAACUAAGAAUCAGAGUGGGUCAGAUAACUUGCCCAAGACCACCCAGAGAUGAUAAAUUGAGGUCCAGGAUUCAAAGCCAGAGCAGCUCCAUUCCAAAGCUCUUUCCAUGGAACGUGGCUCUACAGUAUUUUCCUUAGUCUGCAACGAUCAAGGAGGCUAUUUUUCACAGAGGUUUUAAGAAGAGCAUUGUCUCCCUUCUCUUUAGGAAAAAGAAAAUUCUGCUCUGUGAUCCCUUUAGUGACAGCUAAACCUACAUAUUUGGAGUGUUGGUGCAUUUUAAAAAAAAUGUACAAAGUAGGGUCUUGCUAUGUUGCCCAGACUAGCGUGCAGUGGCUAUUCACAGGCACAAUCAUAGUUCAUAGCAGCCUUGAAUUCCUGGGCUCAAGUGAUCCUCUGGGUAACUGGGAUCAUAGGAGCUCACUACUAACUACUCCUAAUUUUUUUUUCCUCCAUUUUCUGAUGGGAGUGGUUAGAGAUGGUGAGAAAAUAUUUGGCAAAACAGCAGCCUCAUUAUUUUGUCUACAGGAGUAAGUUGCUACAGUCUUUCAAAAUAUUAGACACUUGGCUAAUUAAAGUAGGACGUUACAGUGAAAACCAAGCUUGAAGCUGCUCUACUGAUGCCAAUCUUGUGGUUUUCCCACCACUCUGUCCCUCUCUCUUCCAGGGGUACUGUCAGUAGUUUUAAGUCUGUUAAAUGAGAUUUCCCAGAACAGAUCCUGGCUCCCAGUACCUGUGCCCUCAGUCCCAUGGAUUUGUGUUACAAGUAAGUGAACUUGGCAUUGGCCAUUGCUUAUUAUGCUUCCUGUCUGGCUCUUACUCAUGUUGCCAUUUUGUGGACUAAAACUCAAGGCAGUUCAAAAAUACUGAUAUGCAGGUGCCAUGGAUGCUGUUGGAGUGUGUGUCCUAAGAGAGAGGGUAAGUGCUGGUUUUCCAUUUUAAACAUAGCUCGUGAUAUCAAGUUGCCCCCUCCCUUCAUUCCCUGACUCCCGUCUUCCUCCAAAAGCGGCUCUCUUGGUUUAGUAAGCAUCUCUACCCUGCAAAGCGGAAAUAAUGAAAAAUGAGAUUCACUUUGCAAGCUUGUUGGGUGAGCUUCUGGAGAAUAAUUUUUACCAAAAGCCUGAAAUCAUUUGGCAUUGUUGGUGUUUUCAAUGCAUCUGCAUCACAGCACAUUGCAUUUCACAUCUGGCCAGUUUGGAAUGAAACUUAGAAAAUCACCAGACUAUAGUGAUGUAAUUGUCAUGAAGUGGUUUUUGUAGCUUAGAGAAAAGAAAAACACUUGGCUGAAAGAAUGGUCUGAAGUCCCACCCAAAGUAAAACAUUCUAAAUUAAUAGUUGCCUAAAGACUACAGUAUUAUUAGACUUCUAUUUAAAAAAAUUCACAGUUCUAAUCAAAGAAGUGUAAUUGGAGUUUCCUUUUUAAAUAUUUGAAGACUGUAUUUACUAUUUUGAUGUUCAAAUAUUAGAUCUAUAUUUAGAAGGAAGUCCAGAGGCAUUUUAAGCUAAAUAGGAAUGUGGAUUCCUAUUCAACUUACUAUUGGAAAAAUACAUUGUCAUUAUAGACUUUUUAAAGUAUUAAGUAGCUUUUAAAAAACAUUAUAGGACUGUUAUAGCUAAAUCCUUUUAAUAUCUUCAUUACUCUUAAUUCUCUAGGAGUUUAGUAACAUUUUGCUUUUUUUGGUAAAAUUUGAAGUCUAAUUUACUAGUUGGCUAUUUCUUUACAUUGAGAAUGGUUAUUACUUUUUCACUCUGAACAAUUGAAAAUUAAGAAAAAUUACACUUAAAUAUAAAUUCUUGAUGGUUUUCUUUGCUGUUCUUUUCAUUUAUUAUUGGAAAACAGAUACUGCAUUAAAGUAUUUGUUGAAAUAUGCCUAAGUGUGUUUUCAGAUUGGCAUACUUAGAUAGUACCUGGAUUCAUUGGUUUCCUAUUUAUUAUAGCUUCAUCUGGGAUAAAUGUAUAGAAAUCUUGUCAUUACCUUUAGAAAUUUUAUUUGAGUGGCUCAAUGUUACGAGUAUUCUAAAUGCUAACCUAUUUCAUUUUGAUUUUUUUCUAAGUGAAUAUGUUUAGGUGGUAUGAUUCUUUUAACUCAUAAUUAUUAUGCCAUUGUGACGCAUUAAUUUUUGGCAGUGAUUAUUGUUAAAGUAAACAAAUAUAUACCCCCCACCAAAGCACCAAGUUUCAUACAAGUUUUUAAACAACCAUUUCUUUCUUUUUAGAAAAAUUGAUACAUAAUAAUUGUACGUAUUUUAGAAGGCACGAUGUGAUGUUUCCAUAUAUGUAUAUAUUUGUGUAAUGAUAAAAUCAGGGUAAUUAGCAUAUCCAUCAUCUUAAACAGCUACCAUUUCUUUGAACAACCCAUUUCUAAAUGCUGGAUGGAUGUGUGAAUAAAUGCCAUUUUAUAAUGGUGGUUAUUUUCACAACAAAUUAAUAUAUUUCACAUUUCAUAAAUUAGGGAUUAUGAAUUAUAAAUAAAAUAUUUUUCCCACGUAGUAUUUGCAAAGUAACUGCUUUCACUGCUAAUGGGAAAAUGUCCUUUUAAAAAAAAUUUGGAUGUAAGAACUUUCAAGAUGAGGCCUUGAGAGAACUGGGCACGAACUUCAGACCUGUGAAAUUUUUAGUUUACCUCCUUCUGGACCUUGAAUCUUGUAAAUUUUCUUUAUAGUUUAUUCAUCAGAAAUUAAAAUCUCAAUCAACAUUAUGCUUUGACCCAAUAAGCAUCAUACUACUAGUUUCAAAUAUCGUGGAUUUUACUGGGAUACUCCUGGUCACACAAGUAUUUAAUUCUGAUUAGAAGCAGAGUCAUGUCUGCAUCUGCUAAAAUCCAGAGCCUUUAAUCCUGGCAAAACUGGAGGUUCUUCAGAAGCCCGUGAAACUUAAAGGUAGCUUAAUAUACAGUGAAUUGUGUUUAUGUUUGGAGUAUAUGGUUCACAUCAUAACACAUUUUUGAGUCCCCAAACUUUGGAAAGAUGCCCCAGCCACAUCUUUCUCUUUAAUAGAAGUUCGGAAAUAGCCAAAGUUGUUAUUCCCAGGUAAGCUUUCUAGAGUCACUUUGGGAUUUUCUUGAGUGAUUUUGUUUGCAUUAUGUGUCAUUUGCAUAGUCCUUUAAAGGGUGCUGAUGUUAACUGAGUUGCUUCCCUUGUAGGAGCAGAAUCAUUUUAAUAGCUGUUAUAGAAGAACAGCACUUUUUUGUUAGUAAAAUAAUACAACUGGAUGGGAAGGAAAUAACUGUAUUUGCAUAUUUUCCUGCAUCAGUGAGCACUCUCAUCAGUUUUAUUUUUUAUAUUUUAAAAAAUAUAAAAUAAUCACCCAGUCCUUUUUUCUCUUCUGUUGUGCUCUUCUGAGAAAAUAGGUUUGGGGGGUUUAUUGUGAGUAUGAAUACUUAAUUGGGUGGAGAAACUUGAUCCAGGUGGCUGCAGAAGCAAGUUGUUUCUGAGGGCUGGCUGGACAAAUUUGAACCUGCCCCACACAGUGAUAUUCGCCAUUUUACUGUGUAAACCACAAUAGGUUGUUUGAUCUGCUUGAGAUCGCAAUAUAUUUAAUUGUGCUUGGAAAAUACAGUUUGGAGGUUUUGUAAAAUCAAAAAAAAGAGCUUUUUAAAAAUAGUCUAACUUAUUUCAGAGUUUUUUAAUACAGAUGCUGGAAAUUUAUGGGGUCCAAAAGAAACUGGAAUAUUCUGAAAGAGUUGGAGUGGGAGGAAAUGAGGACUUGGGGUGUUCAUUGUACCUCUGGAUCCUCCUCUGCCAAAAGGAUUUUGUAGCAUAAGGAAUUGAAGAUGUCAUAGCUUUGGAAAUGCCAGUAAAUGUAAGGUUGAAUUCAGAAUCUUGAUCAGGAAGAACUUCCGGUUCUUUCCCUGAUGAAAAAUAUGGUCUCUUGUAAUUUCCAGAAGAACAAUUGCUAAUGCUUAAUUUGAACAAAAAUUAGUCUUCAAGAACUAAAAUAUUAAAGACAAAAUAUAUCUUGGUAGAUGAAAUAAAAGAUUAAUGUUUAAUAUAAAAUAUUAGGCAAAUGAGAUGAGUGAAUUUUUUUAGUCUGCAAGUAAAAUGUCAACUCUUUCAAAAAUAUAAUUUAUAUAUAUAUCUUUUAUGCUAUAAUUUUUAAAGGUCAUGCAUUUUAUAAUUCAUGUUGAUUAACACUAUGUAUAAUAGUUUUAUAUAUUUGGAAUUCUAGAUUAUCUCUAUUUAAAGAAAACAUUUUACUAUAAAAAUCACGCACAAAAGUGGAGACAAUGAUUUAAUAAAUCCCAUCUUGCAAGCUUCAACACUUUGCCAUAUUGCUAUUUUGUCAUUGGGGGUAGAGAGCGCUGAAAUAUUACAAAAUGAAUCUUAGACAUAUCAUUUGCUUUUAAAUGCUUCAUAUACGUGUCUAAAAAAGGGAGUUUUUUUUAGAUAACUACAACAAUAUUCACACAUAGAAAAGUUAUAAUGAUCCCUUCAUAUGCUCUAAUCCCUAGUUUACAUUCAAGUUUCCCUUAUGGCUCACAUAUGCCCUCUGUAGCUAGUUUGAAUCUCAAUUCAAGUCAGUUUCCACUCAUUGCAUUUGUUAUAUCUCUCAAGACUUAAAUUUUAGAACAAUUUCUACUUUUCCCUCCUCUCUGUUUCUUGGCAUUGAUAUUGAUGAAAUUUGACCAGGGGUCCUAUAGAAUGUUCUGUAUUCUACAUUUUUCUUAUUUCAUCCUAGUUGUAUUUUUUAAUUUGUUCCUCCAUCCCCCAUACUUCAUGCAAACUAGAAAUUGAAUCUGAGGGAUUCUAUUAUUUUAAUAUUUUCAACAAGAAUACUUCAUAGAUGAGGUUUUGAUACAUUCUCUCAGUAUCCCAAACACAUUUGUUUAGUAACUAAUGUCAUUUUAUUCCACUCUUCAGAUGGACUUCUUGCUGCAAUAUUCAAAAGUAAUUACAUUCUGGGGGGGAAAAAAGCCUUUUCCUACCCAAUAAGUCUUUAUUAUAAUCAAAUCCUUAUGGGAGUAAACUUCAAUUAAUUGAUGCAUGAAAAAUACCAGAGACAAAGUGAACCCUUUAAUUUCUCUAAAUUUGGCUAUGCAUAAAGAAAGCUGCACCUACCAUGCCUGUCAUAAACUGUCAAUGGCCAGUCAGACUGAACCUGCUGCCCUCACAUUGCCCCUGUUGUGAGCAAGUAUCUCCAUGCUCUAGUGAACUCUUACUGAGAUAGACCUACUAUUUGGAGCUUUGAUGUCCAUCAAGGUUUUACUCCCAUCUCUAUAUUAAAGCAUCAUGUUUUUAGGUUUUGGAUAAACAUCCAAUGUAUGUCUUUUAUGAGUAAAACAGAUCACAAGAAAUUAUGAUAUGUGUUUGGUUUGCUUACAGACCUUGCUGUAUCCAUUUGGUUCCCUCUUAUACUUUUGUAUUUUUAACUCAACAUCUCCAUUACUUCUAGUCAUAGGGCUUGAAAUUCUCACUGUUAGAAUCAUUCUUUUUGGUCUUUCUGGAAAUGUUUAUUAAAGAGAAAUCAAGGUAUCACAUUACUUGGGAAAAAUAACGCAUAUAUAAGACUCACUGUCACCUAAACCGAGAUGAUGAUCUCAGUAGGCACUAUCCAAAGAAUGUCUUGACCUUGGACAAACAUCUCAUCUUGGAAUUUUUCUUGGGCUCUGGACACCUGGGAAACAGCUUGUAAAGACCAAAUUCUGUUGUAGAAGUGGAGAACUUCAAAAGGAGAAUAUGAGAUAUCUUGGGAUUAUUGCCUCUGGUUUCUAAUAAACUGAAUUAUGUUGAUAAUGCCUAUCCCAGGCUCUGUGGUCUGUAGAAGGAAGAGUGGAUGAGGAGUAAAGAGAUACUGAGCUUCAGUCCUGGGUUCCAGGCACUGUAGCUUGGUGAUCAACAGCCCAAACUCCAGAUUCACAUUGGGUGGCCUCUUGCUCAUGUGACCUUAGAAAAUUUACUUAACUUUCUGAGAAGCCUCAGUUUCUGAAUCUGUAAAA
Molecule: long non-coding RNA, 5999 nt
Filed under: Homo sapiens (human)
Lineage: Eukaryota; Metazoa; Chordata; Mammalia; Primates; Hominidae
Description: HSALNT0358054
Source: RNAcentral